GGCAGUGGUGUCUCAAAGGUUACGGCUCUAGGUUACUGAUCAGGAGGUCAGGGUUCAAGCCCCAGCACUGCCA
Non-coding RNA from Pangasianodon gigas (Mekong giant catfish), 73 nucleotides. The record is from the annotation of a GenBank genome assembly. NCBI's taxonomy places the organism in Eukaryota, Metazoa, Chordata, Actinopteri, Siluriformes, Pangasiidae.